CUGCUCAAUGAUUUUUUAAAUUGCUGUGGUAUUUUGACUAUACAAAGGUAUUGAAAUAAGAUUUUAAUUGAAUGCUAAGAGAAUGGAAUUUCAGAAAAAAACUUUUUUCAAGUUAAAAAUCGAAAUUUUUUUAAUUUGUGCAGAAACAAUUAUUAAUAUUAAGGACAAGAAGACCCUAUGAAUUUAUAAAUUUUAUUUAAUAUGUAACUACUAUUGAAAAAAUUUUAGCUGGGGCGGCGGAAAAAUAUUUAAAACUUUUUUAAAAUAAAAUGACCCAUUAUUAAUGAUUAUAUGUUAAAUACUCUAGGGAUAACAGCGU
This 319-nucleotide ribosomal RNA is filed under the name Rhipicephalus sanguineus (brown dog tick). Its description in RNAcentral is "partial 16S ribosomal RNA". Lineage: Eukaryota; Metazoa; Arthropoda; Arachnida; Ixodida; Ixodidae. The record is from RNAcentral.